AGAAAUUGCAUGAAAACACCUUAAAAAGGGCUAGAUUGCUAAGUUGUAAAAUGAGUUGUAAAUGAGUGAAAUAGUUGAAAUUAUGAGUUGCUAUAGUUAUGAAAAUGGUUCAUCUAGACUCAAGGAGUAAAGAAAUGUGAUAAAAAUUAUUUUACGAGCCUAGGGGUAAUUUGGUAAUUUUGGCAAAAUAUAGGGGCAAAAUUGUAAAAAUUGCCCAAGUGUGUCAAUGGACUAAUUUGAUCAGUACAUUGUUUUAAUAAGUUGAAUGUGAUAUUUUAGAUGAUGAAAAUCGAGAUUUGGACCUAGAACGGAAAGAAAUCGAUUAAGGGA
Molecule: long non-coding RNA, 330 nt
Filed under: Gossypium barbadense (sea-island cotton)
Lineage: Eukaryota; Viridiplantae; Streptophyta; Magnoliopsida; Malvales; Malvaceae
Description: long non-coding RNA (GBAR_LNC012554)
Source: RNAcentral